UUUCAAGUCAGCUUCUUUUUAUGAAUUUGUGAUUUUCAAUCGCGGUGUGUUUGUAUUCUGCUUGAAGAUGAGAUUUCUUAGAUUUUGAUUCCCUUUAAUUAUUAACUUAAUUAGUGGACUGUGUGGGAACAUAAUCUUGCAGCAUAGCUUUGGAGCAGAGGGAGACUAUUGUCUACAGUGAUCAAACUUAAAUUAUAGGAGCUUGUUACGGUACCGACUCUGUAUGUAACACAGCAAAUGGGG
This 243-nucleotide long non-coding RNA is filed under the name Citrus maxima (pomelo). RNAcentral's name for it is "long non-coding RNA (CMAX_LNC004206)". The record is from RNAcentral. Lineage: Eukaryota; Viridiplantae; Streptophyta; Magnoliopsida; Sapindales; Rutaceae.